Molecule: unclassified non-coding RNA, 3300 nt
Filed under: Hevea brasiliensis (rubber tree)
Lineage: Eukaryota; Viridiplantae; Streptophyta; Magnoliopsida; Malpighiales; Euphorbiaceae
Source: RNAcentral
UUGUGUUAUGGAAAAAAGAAAGAGAAAGCGACUCUGUUGAGAUUAUGUUUCAGUGCCAUGAGAUCAUGAAUAAUUGGUUUGCGUGCUAUUGUGUUAUGAAUGGUUGCCUUGCAAAUGCCUAUGUUGAAUUAGAUGGUUAUGUAGCGUAUGUAUCUUAGUGGAAUGCUGCUUUAUAUCACUGAGCUUUUGAGCUUUGUGGUUAUAUUAAUCCUAUCCACAAUUUUUUAUUCACGUAGUGUAUAAUCCUCAGUUUCAGGGCUUUUGCCUUGGCUGAUUGAUUGCAUGAGACCUUCACUUUUGAUUGAUUGAGUGGCAGCAAAAUAUAUCCGUAGGAACGAUUGACAACUAAUUUGGCAUUCUUUGGGCUUAGAAUAGUUGAUGAAAUUAUCUAGUUUUACUCUUAGCCUUGAAAAAAUCAUAGUUAAAUAUAUAGGUACCCACAGGUUUAAGAUAUGGGGUACCUGUGUGGGUGGUUUAGCUAUAUUGAUGUUUUGUGACGGUUUAUAAACUGCAGUUAUCAAGUAAAAUUCCAGUGAGAAGAUGAUGAGGAAUUUAAAGAAAAAGCAUAUAGUAAAGAUCUUGAUUAAACAAAUACUCUUCUUUUUUCCUGUUCGGUCCCUUUUUGGUUAUGAAGACGGAGACUAUAAACACAAGCAUUUAUAAGCAUGUAUUUGGUCAAUCUGAAGUUGCAAAGCUGGUGUCUCGAUCAAAUGCAAGUAGUAGUCAUGAUAGUGCCAUACUCAUUGGACAUCUAUGUCAAUCUUCUGUUCAGUUUGUUCAUCACUCUUUCCUUUUUCUAUUUUGCGUUAAACUUCUGAUGCUGGUAUCCGUCGAGGCUAUUGGUAUUUGCAACUCACUUUUCUUUCAAUAAUAAUAGGCUGACUUAGGAUAGGGAGUUUCUAGUGCUUUCCAAGCCUUCUGGUAUGCUUUAUCUUCCAACCAAUCUAAUUUUGGGCUCUUGAAGGAGAUCAUCUGGUAUAUGUGGUUGUAGCUGUUCUUGACUGCUAUAAUGGAAGUGUAAACUCUACCUACUUUCACAUGAGAGGUAGACACUGGACUGUGGAAAAAUAAGAUAUCGUGGCACAUGAUGCUUUUUGUUUUGCAACUUUAGUUUUUGUGAAUUUUAGUAAAAUGCUAGGCAUGUGCGAUGAUGAGGUCUUUCGUUAACAAAGAUAGGCCUUGGGGUGAAAAGGUGAACAAAAAAGAAAGGAAAAUAGAAAGAUGACCACCGGAGGCUGGAGAGUAUGGAUCAGUUGGAUGUUGUAACCCAACAGAUAAGAUUUUCCUUUCUGACAAUGAAAAAAUCCAACUAACAGACUGUAGGAAUUUAUAAAAUUCUUCUUCAGGGUAAGAUUCCCUUGUUAAAGUGACAUGGUGCAGAAGCUCAGACAGAGGUAGGGUUGUCUGUGAUGGACAACAAAUAAUUCAUCUCUGCAGUCUCACACUUUUCCUAGUAUUUUUCUGUCAGGAUGGGUUUGAUUGUUGUCCAUUGCUUUUACCUUAGGUUGGACUUCCCUUCAUCAGUAUCUCUUUAAAUGGAGUUCUCCAAGAAUGAAGUCAUCAUGCAAUCAUUAUUAGCUACUGCUGGAUGCUUUGGAGCUCCUCAAUGCUUCACGAUAGUUCUAGUUUGGUUCCUUUUGAACCUACUUGUGGAUUCUUGUAGAUCAACUUGUUUUGAUGAAAUUCUCAUGGUGGAGUUUGCUGAUUGGAGCUGUCAACCUUUGUUGGAAUUUGUUGUUGCUGGUUUCAAUUGGUGUUCAUGUGCGACAACAAGAACAUUGUCUGAGGUGUUUUGCCCAUUUGGAGGGCCAAGUAGUCAUGCCUUUGUAGGUUUAGGAUUUUUUCCCUUGACUAUUUUCUGAAUGCAGGGCUUGUAGUUGUUAAAUUCAUCCAUAAGGCUAAAUGGGAGACAUAGUGAUUGAACAUUCAGGGUCGCCACAUUAUGAGGCCUUGAACUUGCAAAAUGUUACAACAUCUGAGAAUGAUGCUGAUCUGGUUCGGAGUUACUGUGGGGGCUUCUUUCCUGAGGGUAGUACACAUGAAGAAAAAUCCACUUGCACCGAAGCCCUCGACAGAGGAUUCUUUGAAUAUGGAUGUUCCCACUAUCGCCGUAGAUGUCGCAUUAGAGCCCCAUGCUGCGAUGAGAUGUUUGACUGCAGGCAUUGUCAUAAUGAAUCUAAGAACAAUAUCAACAUUGACCAGAAACUUCGACAUGAGAUUCCUCGUCACAAGGUGGAAAGGAUUAUAUGCUCACUUUGUAAUACAGAGCAAGAGGUUCGGCAAGUUUGCAUCAAUUGCGGUGUGUGCAUGGGGAGAUAUUUCUGUGAAACGUGUAAGCUAUUUGAUGAUGAUAUAUCCAAAAGACAGUAUCACUGCAGUGGUUGUGGGAUAUGCAGGAUUGGUGGGAUGGAGAACUUCUUCCACUGUCCCAAAUGCAGAUGUUGUCAUUCUGUUCUAUUGAGGAACAGCCACCCCUGUGUAGAGGGGGCAAUGCAUCAUGACUGUCCUGUUUGUUUUGAGUAUCUCUUUGAGUCGAUAAAUGAUGUAACAGUCAUGCCUUGUGGACACACUAUUCAUAAGAACUGUUUGAAGGAGAUGCAGGAACACUACCAAUAUGCUUGUCCUCUCUGCUGUAAGUCGGUAUGUGAUAUGUCAAAGGUGUGGGAGAAAUUUGACAUGGAAAUUGCUGCAACACCAAUGCCCGAACCUUAUCAAGACAAGAAGGUUUGGAUCCUUUGUAAUGAUUGUGGAAUCACCUCAGAAGUGCAAUAUCACUUUGUGGCCCAGAAAUGUCCAUGUUGCAAAUCUUACAACACCCGCCAAACAAGAGGUGGAUAAAAGGACCAAAUAUCAAUAGCCAAUCUGGCUUUCAAGUGAAAAUGAUCCCACACCCUAUGUGGCUAGGGUGGUACCUCUGAGUGGGAAUGAUUGGGCUUUACAAGCUAAGCUUGUAGAAGAAAUAACGGAAAGAAGGGGUUCUAAUAUGAUCCUGCUUGUAACACUUCUGAGGUUAUCGUGUUUUCGCGUUUUAGUAGUACGUGCGUUUUAUAUGCCAGUGCAAUUUUCAAGACACUGAUUAUUUGUUCAGUGUUAGCCCUAUUAUUGUUGGCAUGUGUGAUUCAAUCCUUUAUAGCACAAAGCGAGUUGGACUGUGGCAUGUUAAGUGGCUGAGAGACUUGAUGUGUUGUGUGAUAUGUAUUUUCCAGUUAAUUACUCACUUGAAGAUAAAUUUGUAUUAUUACUUCAUAUUUAUUAAGUAGUAUAUUUCUUUAAGAAAAUUAUGACGUAGUUAAAUUGUCC